RNAcentral lists this ribosomal RNA (305 nucleotides) under uncultured bacterium. RNAcentral describes it as "bacterial SSU rRNA". It matches the Rfam family "Bacterial small subunit ribosomal RNA", at positions 336 to 639 of the family's 1533-position model. The record is from RNAcentral.
UUCCUACGGGGGGCAGCAGUGAGGAAUAUUGGUCAAUGGACGAGAGUCUGAACCAGCCAAGUAGCGUGAAGGAUGACUGCCCUAUGGGUUGUAAACUUCUUUUAUAUGGGAAUAAAACAGGGUAUGCAUACCCUCUUGUAUGUACCAUAUGAAUAAGGAUCGGCUAACUCCGUGCCAGCAGCCGCGGUAAUACGGAGGAUCCGAGCGUUAUCCGGAUUUAUUGGGUUUAAAGGGUGCGUAGGCGGCAUUAUAAGUUAGUGGUAAAAUAUUGGGGCUUCACCUCACUACGCCAUUAAUAAUGUAGA